GGCUCUUUGGUCAAGCGGCUAAGACGCCGCCCUCUCACGGCGGAAACACGAGUUCGAUUCUCGUAAGAGUCACCA
Molecule: transfer RNA, 75 nt
Filed under: Clostridia bacterium
Lineage: Bacteria; Bacillati; Bacillota; Clostridia
Also listed under: 1 other name
Description: tRNA-Glu
Rfam family: tRNA
About the family: Transfer RNA (tRNA) molecules are approximately 80 nucleotides in length.
Source: RNAcentral